UAUUAUGUACAUGCCUACAACAUAGCAAUGGAUUCCAUUAGAACUCCAUAGUUAAGCGUGCUCAAGCUAGAUUAGUACUAUGAUGAGUGACCGCCGAGGAAUUCCUAGUGUUUUACAUGC
Molecule: non-coding RNA, 120 nt
Organism: Picea glauca (white spruce)
Lineage: Eukaryota; Viridiplantae; Streptophyta; Pinopsida; Pinales; Pinaceae
Source: Rfam